RNAcentral lists this ribosomal RNA (492 nucleotides) under uncultured soil bacterium. Its description in RNAcentral is "bacterial SSU rRNA". It matches the Rfam family "Bacterial small subunit ribosomal RNA", at positions 26 to 517 of the family's 1533-position model. The record is from RNAcentral.
AGAUUGAACGCUAGCGGGAUGCUUUACACAUGCAAGUCGAACGGCAGCGCGGACUUCGGUCUGGCGGCGAGUGGCGAACGGGUGAGUAAUAUAUCGGAACGUGCCCAGUAGCGGGGGAUAACUACGCGAAAGCGUGGCUAAUACCGCAUACGCCCUACGGGGGAAAGGGGGGGAUCGCAAGACCUCUCACUAUUGGGGCGGCCGAUAUCAGAUUAGCUAGUUGGUGAGGUAAAGGCUCACCAAGGCGACGAUCUGUAGCUGGUUUGAGAGGACGACCAGCCACACUGGGACUGAGACACGGCCCAGACUCCUACGGGAGGCAGCAGUGGGGAAUUUGGACAAUGGGGGAAACCUGAUCCAGCCAUCCCGCGUGUGCGAUGAAGGCCUUCGGGUUGUAAGCACUUUUGGCGAGGAAGAACGGCGUUGACUAAUAUUCAGCGUCACUGACGGUACUGCAGAAUAAGCACCGGCUAACGUACGUGCCAGCAGCCG